RNAcentral lists this small RNA (248 nucleotides) under Effusibacillus lacus. RNAcentral's name for it is "BsrG". It matches the Rfam family "BsrG". Rfam says of the family: bsrE, bsrG and bsrH pair through intermolecular interactions with antisense sRNAs. SR4 interaction with the 3'UTR of bsrG RNA promotes bsrG degradation and inhibits its translation. SR5 also overlaps bsrG from nucleotide 163 to 52 (Rfam overlap check). Lineage: Bacteria; Bacillati; Bacillota; Bacilli; Caryophanales; Alicyclobacillaceae. The record is from Rfam by way of RNAcentral.
UGCAAUAGAAUAGGCUCCUCAAGGGUGGUCGGCUCAUCCCCUAAUGAAAGGGGGUGAUGCCAUGACAGUUUAUGAGGCGAUCUCACUGAUGAUUUCUUUUGGUGCACUGGUCGCGUUAAUACUGUCGGGAAAGAAAAAAAGAUAGACCGCCCUUGAGCCCACAACUCAGCGGUUCUAUCCCACAUGCUUGAGCCGGCCCCAGGAGGGGCAGCUAUUGUACAUCGGCCGUAGGUGUUCCCGCACCUGCG